RNAcentral lists this ribosomal RNA (433 nucleotides) under uncultured bacterium. RNAcentral describes it as "partial 16S ribosomal RNA". It matches the Rfam family "Bacterial small subunit ribosomal RNA", at positions 29 to 507 of the family's 1533-position model. The record is from RNAcentral.
AACGAACGCUGGCGGCAUGCCUAACACAUGCAAGUCGAACGAGACCUUCGGGUCUAGUGGCGCACGGGUGCGUAACGCGUGGGAACCUGCCCUUAUGUUCGGAAUAACUCCCCGAAAGGGGUGCUAAUACCGGAUAAUGUCUUCGGACCAAAGAUUUAUCGCCUUUGGAUGGGCCCGCGUUGGAUUAGCUAGUUGGUAGGGUAAAAGCCUACCAAGGCGACGAUCCAUAGCUGGUCUGAGAGGAUGAUCAGCCACACUGAGACUGAGACACGGCCCAGACUCCUACGGGAGGCAGCAGUGGGGAAUAUUGGACAAUGGGCGAAAGCCUGAUCCAGCAAUGCCGCGUGAGUGAUGAAGGCCUUAGGGUUGUAAAGCUCUUUUACCCGGGAUGAUAAUGACAGUACCGGGAGAAUAAGCGCCGGCUAACUCCGUG